Molecule: ribosomal RNA, 440 nt
Filed under: uncultured bacterium
Lineage: Bacteria
Description: partial 16S ribosomal RNA
Rfam family: Bacterial small subunit ribosomal RNA
Source: RNAcentral
CUACGGGUCGCUGCAGUCGGGAAUAUUGCGCAAUGGAGGAAACUCUGACGCAGUGACGCCGCGUAUAGGAAGAAGGUUUUCGGAUUGUAAUCUAUUGUCGUUAGGGAAGAUAAAAGACAGUACCUAAGGAGGAAGCUCCGGCUAACUACGUGCCAGCAGCCGCGGUAAUACGUAGGGAGCAAGCGUUAUCCGGAUUUAUUGGGUGUAAAGGGUGCGUAGACGGGAAGACAAGUUAGUUGUGAAAUCCCUCGGCUUAACUGAGGAACUGCAACUAAAACUAUUUUUCUUGAGUGUUGGAGAGGAAAGUGGAAUUCCUAGUGUAGCGGUGAAAUGCGUAGAUAUUAGGAGGAACACCGGUGGCGAAGGCGACUUUCUGGACAAUAACUGACGUUGAGGCACGAAAGUGUGGGGAGCAAACAGGAUUAGAUACCCCUGUAGUC